GGGGAAUAUUGCACAAUGGGCGCAAGCCUGAUGCAGCAACGCCGCGUGAGGGACGACGGCCUUCGGGUUGUAAACCUCUUUUAGCAGGGAAGAAGCGAAAGUGACGGUACCUGCAGAAAAAGCACCGGCUAACUACGUGCCAGCAGCCGCGGUAAUACGUAGGGUGCAAGCGUUGUCCGGAAUUAUUGGGCGUAAAGAGCUCGUAGGCGGUUUGUCGCGUCUGCUGUGAAAACGCGAGGCUCAACCUCGCGCCUGCAGUGGGUACGGGCAAACUAGAGUGCGGUAGGGGAGAUUGGAAUUCCUGGUGUAGCGGUGGAAUGCGCAGAUAUCAGGAGGAACACCGAUGGCGAAGGCAGAUCUCUGGGCCGUAACUGACGCUGAGGAGCGAAAGCAUGGGGAGCGAAC
RNAcentral lists this ribosomal RNA (405 nucleotides) under uncultured bacterium. RNAcentral describes it as "bacterial SSU rRNA". It matches the Rfam family "Bacterial small subunit ribosomal RNA", at positions 356 to 773 of the family's 1533-position model. The record is from RNAcentral.